GACGAACGCGGGGGCGUGCCUAAUACAUGCAAGUAGACGCUGAAGAGAGGAGCUUGCUCUUCUUGGAUGAGUUGCGAACGGGUGAGUAACGCGUAGGUAACCUGCCUUGUAGCGGGGGAUAACUAUUGGAAACGAUAGCUAAUACCGCAUAACAAUGGAUGACCCAUGUCAUUUAUUUGAAAGGGGCAAAUGCUCCACUACAAGAUGGACCUGCGUUGUAUUAGCUAGUAGGUGAGGUAACGGCUCACCUAGGCGACGAUACAUAGCCGACCUGAGAGGGUGAUCGGCCACACUGGGACUGAGACACGGCCCAGACUCCUACGGGAGGCAGCAGUAGGGAAUCUUCGGCAAUGGGGGCAACCCUGACCGAGCAACGCCGCGUGAGUGAAGAAGGUUUUCGGAUCGUAAAGCUCUGUUGUAAGUCAAGAACGAGUGUGAGAGUGGAAAGUUCACACUGUGACGGUAGCUUACCAGAAAGGGACGGCUAACUACGUGCCAGCAGCCGCGGUAAUACGUAGGUCCCGAGCGUUGUCCGGAUUUAUUGGGCGUAAAGCGAGCGCAGGCGGUUUGAUAAGUCUGAAGUUAAAGGCUGUGGCUCAACCAUAGUUCGCUUUGGAAACUGUCAAACUUGAGUGCAGAAGGGGAGAGUGGAAUUCCAUGUGUAGCGGUGAAAUGCGUAGAUAUAUGGAGGAACACCGGUGGCGAAAGCGGCUCUCUGGUCUGUAACUGACGCUGAGGCUCGAAAGCGUGGGGAGCGAACAGG
RNAcentral lists this ribosomal RNA (763 nucleotides) under uncultured Streptococcus sp. RNAcentral describes it as "bacterial SSU rRNA". It matches the Rfam family "Bacterial small subunit ribosomal RNA", at positions 28 to 776 of the family's 1533-position model. The record is from RNAcentral. Lineage: Bacteria; Bacillati; Bacillota; Bacilli; Lactobacillales; Streptococcaceae.